This 1476-nucleotide ribosomal RNA is filed under the name uncultured organism. RNAcentral's name for it is "16S ribosomal RNA". It matches the Rfam family "Bacterial small subunit ribosomal RNA". The record is from RNAcentral.
CGGCGUGCCUAAUACAUGCAAGUCGAGCGAGCGGAACUAACAGAUUUACUUCGGUAAUGACGUUAGGAAAGCGAGCGGCGGAUGGGUGAGUAACACGUGGGGAACCUGCCCCAUAGUCUGGGAUACCACUUGGAAACAGGUGCUAAUACCGGAUAAGAAAGCAGAUCGCAUGAUCAGCUUUUAAAAGGCGGCGUAAGCUGUCGCUAUGGGAUGGCCCCGCGGUGCAUUAGCUAGUUGGUAAGGUAAAGGCUUACCAAGGCGAUGAUGCAUAGCCGAGUUGAGAGACUGAUCGGCCACAUUGGGACUGAGACACGGCCCAAACUCCUACGGGAGGCAGCAGUAGGGAAUCUUCCACAAUGGACGCAAGUCUGAUGGAGCAACGCCGCGUGAGUGAAGAAGGUUUUCGGAUCGUAAAGCUCUGUUGUUGGUGAAGAAGGAUAGAGGUAGUAACUGGCCUUUAUUUGACGGUAAUCAACCAGAAAGUCACGGCUAACUACGUGCCAGCAGCCGCGGUAAUACGUAGGUGGCAAGCGUUGUCCGGAUUUAUUGGGCGUAAAGCGAGCGCAGGCGGAAGAAUAAGUCUGAUGUGAAAGCCCUCGGCUUAACCGAGGAACUGCAUCGGAAACUGUUUUUCUUGAGUGCAGAAGAGGAGAGUGGAACUCCAUGUGUAGCGGUGGAAUGCGUAGAUAUAUGGAAGAACACCAGUGGCGAAGGCGGCUCUCUGGUCUGCAACUGACGCUGAGGCUCGAAAGCAUGGGUAGCGAACAGGAUUAGAUACCCUGGUAGUCCAUGCCGUAAACGAUGAGUGCUAAGUGUUGGGAGGUUUCCGCCUCUCAGUGCUGCAGCUAACGCAUUAAGCACUCCGCCUGGGGAGUACGACCGCAAGGUUGAAACUCAAAGGAAUUGACGGGGGCCCGCACAAGCGGUGGAGCAUGUGGUUUAAUUCGAAGCAACGCGAAGAACCUUACCAGGUCUUGACAUCUAGUGUCAUUUGUAGAGAUACAAAGUUCCCUUCGGGGACGCUAAGACAGGUGGUGCAUGGCUGUCGUCAGCUCGUGUCGUGAGAUGUUGGGUUAAGUCCCGCAACGAGCGCAACCCUUGUUAUUAGUUGCCAGCAUUAAGUUGGGCACUCUAAUGAGACUGCCGGUGACAAACCGGAGGAAGGUGGGGAUGACGUCAAGUCAUCAUGCCCCUUAUGACCUGGGCUACACACGUGCUACAAUGGGCAGUACAACGAGAAGCGAGCCUGCGAAGGCAAGCGAAUCUCUGAAAGCUGUUCUCAGUUCGGACUGCAGUCUGCAACUCGACUGCACGAAGCUGGAAUCGCUAGUAAUCGCGGAUCAGCACGCCGCGGUGAAUACGUUCCCGGGCCUUGUACACACCGCCCGUCACACCAUGGGAGUCUGCAAUGCCCAAAGCCGGUGGCCUAACCUUCGGGAAGGAGCCGUCUAAGGCAGGGCAGAUGACUGGGGUGAA